GACGAACGCUGGCGGCGUGCUUAACACAUGCAAGUCGAACGGAAAGGCCCUGCUUUUGUGGGGUGCUCGAGUGGCGAACGGGUGAGUAACACGUGAGUAACCUGCCCUUGACUUUGGGAUAACUUCAGGAAACUGGGGCUAAUACCGGAUAGGAGCUCCUGCUGCAUGGUGGGGGUUGGAAAGUUUCGGCGGUUGGGGAUGGACUCGCGGCUUAUCAGCUUGUUGGUGGGGUAGUGGCUUACCAAGGCUUUGACGGGUAGCCGGCCUGAGAGGGUGACCGGCCACAAUGGGACUGAGAUACGGCCCAGACUCCUACGAGAGGCAGCAGUGGGGAAUAUUGCACAAUGGGCGGAAGCCUGAUGCAGCAACGCCGCGUGCGGGAUGACGGCCUUCGGGUUGUAAACCGCUUUCGCCUGUGACGAAGCGUGAGUGACGGUAAUGGGUAAAGAAGCACCGGCUAACUACGUG
Molecule: ribosomal RNA, 468 nt
Filed under: uncultured bacterium
Lineage: Bacteria
Description: partial 16S ribosomal RNA
Rfam family: Bacterial small subunit ribosomal RNA
Source: RNAcentral